Long non-coding RNA from Ostrinia nubilalis (European corn borer), 455 nucleotides. RefSeq lists it as uncharacterized. The transcript is spliced from 3 exons. NCBI's taxonomy places the organism in Eukaryota, Metazoa, Arthropoda, Insecta, Lepidoptera, Crambidae. The record is from RefSeq and is a predicted model, not a curated record.
UCUUGACACAAAAACGUUUGUCAAACAUCCUUCAAGUAAAGCAUAAACUUUUGAAGUUUUUACUGGUGCUAACGAAAUAAAUAGUCAUGAGUGGCUGUCCACCACCAUCGCCCCAAGUAUGCCCGCAAGUGUGCCCGCCGCCGCCGCCCGCGGCGCCCUGCCGCGUGAAGCCCAUCAUGCGAGGGCUCCACUGGGCGCAGACCAAGCGCGUCCUAGCCCAAGCCUGGGCCCUGGCCUUCUUGGGAGGCGCUUGCAUUUUCUUUUUCAAAAAGACGAAGAGAAUAGCAGCUUAUAAAGAUUUUUAUAAGAAAGGAGAGUUUGAAGAUUGGGCUGAUGAAAUGGCGAGAAAAGGAUUAUUUCAAUCUGUACCCAAAGAAUCUUUGCCGGAUAACCAGCACAUGAAAAAAUAAUUGAACCCUUGUUGAAUAAAAAUAAAUUAUUGUUAUUUGAUUGAA